ACAGAUGGCAGAGUCUGUGGCAGGCAAAAAGGUCUUCCUCAUUAAUUACUUCACUCUUCAAGUCCUCUGCUACAGACAUCUCUAUGCACAAAACAGUGACCAAACAAGAGUCUGCUUUCCCUGCCUUGUGAAACAAUGCUAACACUUGGUGCCUGAGCUGCUGUCCUAGGGACCUCUGAGGACUUGCUCAAGAUGGAAAUGCUGUCUGAGCCCAGCUCCUGUAAAUACUUUGGCCCAUCCUGGACUUUAAAAGGAAGAUCAGCAAUGCUGAGCUCUCUCAAAUUCCCUCGAGGGCAGCUUUUUCUCCUGUGCCCUAGACAGUCCUGUCAGCUGCUGUGCUCCAGUGACAAGAUGGCUGCAUUUCAUAGCAAA
Molecule: long non-coding RNA, 372 nt
Organism: Pseudopodoces humilis (Tibetan ground-tit)
Lineage: Eukaryota; Metazoa; Chordata; Aves; Passeriformes; Paridae
Source: RefSeq, a predicted model, not a curated record